UGCCAGCCGCCGCGGUAAUACGGGGGGGGCAAGCGUUGUCCGGAAUUAUUGGGCGUAAAGGGCGUGUAGGCGGGAUAGUAAGUCGGUGGUGUAAUGUCAGGGCUCAACCUUGACACUGCCUCUGAUACUGCUAUUCUUGAGUGCGGAAGAUGGAAGCGGAAUUCCCGGUGUAGCGGUGAAAUGUGUAGAUAUCGGGAAGAACACCAGUAGCGAAGGCGGCUUCCUAUUCCGUUUCUGACGCUGAUGCGCGAAAGCAUGGGUAGCAAACAGGAUUAGAUA
This 279-nucleotide ribosomal RNA is filed under the name uncultured bacterium. RNAcentral's name for it is "partial 16S ribosomal RNA". It matches the Rfam family "Bacterial small subunit ribosomal RNA", at positions 506 to 784 of the family's 1533-position model. The record is from RNAcentral.